RNAcentral lists this non-coding RNA (179 nucleotides) under Albidovulum aquaemixtae. Its description in RNAcentral is "Defluviimonas aquaemixtae Ruegeria cis52 sRNA". It matches the Rfam family "Ruegeria cis52 sRNA". From Rfam's summary of the family: Cis-encoded. Targets oligo/dipeptide ABC transporter. Functions in transport. Lineage: Bacteria; Pseudomonadati; Pseudomonadota; Alphaproteobacteria; Rhodobacterales; Paracoccaceae. The record is from Rfam by way of RNAcentral.
UCCUCAGCGCGUGCUUCAUAACCACAUUGCCGAACGAGACGCCUUUCAGGCGCGCGGUGCGAAUGUAUUGUGCGGUCAUGACCUCGGUCAUCGAGGCGCGCGUCAUCCGCGCGAUGUAGCCGAUGCCAUAGAGCGCGAUCGUCAUGACCGGCAGGAAGAAGUUUUCGAACGUGAUAUUG